Molecule: small RNA, 107 nt
Filed under: Flavobacteriaceae bacterium
Lineage: Bacteria; Pseudomonadati; Bacteroidota; Flavobacteriia; Flavobacteriales; Flavobacteriaceae
Also listed under: 1 other name
Description: 6S RNA
Rfam family: 6S-Flavo RNA
Source: RNAcentral
ACUCAACGCUAUAUAAUUAAAAAUGGUGAGUCUUUAAUGCUAAAUCGUGCUGAUGUUCUCAGAUUUUUGAUCAUUAAGUUAGCCAUAAACUUGUUUUUUUGGAGUUU